UACGAGUGCCCCGAGCGUUAUCCGGAAUCACUGGGCGUAAAGGGUGCGUAGGCGGGUCUUUAAGUCAGGGGUGAAAUCCUGGAGCUCAACUCCAGAACUGCCUUUGAUACUGAAGAUCUUGAGUUCGGGAGAGGUGAGUGGAACUGCGAGUGUAGAGGUGAAAUUCGUAGAUAUUCGCAAGAACACCAGUGGCGAAGGCGGCUCACUGGCCCGAUACUGACGCUGAGGCACGAAAGCGUGGGGAGCAAACAGG
RNAcentral lists this ribosomal RNA (253 nucleotides) under uncultured bacterium. Its description in RNAcentral is "partial 16S ribosomal RNA". It matches the Rfam family "Bacterial small subunit ribosomal RNA", at positions 524 to 776 of the family's 1533-position model. The record is from RNAcentral.